UGGGCGCGGGUUUUCCUGCCGGCCGCCGGGCGCGCCCUCCUCGGCCUGGGCGUCCCGCCGUGGGCGCCCCGAACUCGCGCGGGCCGGUGCGGGCGAGGCGCGUUCCUCGGGCCCGGACGGUGCUCGCUCGCUCUCUUCGUGGUGGCGGGAAGGCGCUCCAGCAGCCGUGCGGACCGCGAGGGACAGGGGAUGCCUCUCGGAAGGAGGCAGCUGAGGCGCCGUGAACAAGACAUUUGGAGCCUGGUGGCCUGAUGUGGGGGCAGGCGGGGCAGAUUUGCCAACAGGCACCGCACAGCCCCACGUGCUGGUCGUGGACUGCUGUGACCUCGGGACGGUGGAGAACUA
Molecule: long non-coding RNA, 345 nt
Organism: Microcebus murinus (gray mouse lemur)
Lineage: Eukaryota; Metazoa; Chordata; Mammalia; Primates; Cheirogaleidae
Source: RefSeq, a predicted model, not a curated record